GCUUAACUCCGGAACUGCAAUCAAAACUUUUUAGCUAGAGUAUGAUAGAGGAAAGCAGAAUUUCUAGUGUAGAGGUGAAAUUCGUAGAUAUUAGAAAGAAUACCAAUUGCGAAGGCAGCUUUCUGGAUCAUUACUGACACUGAGGAACGAAAGCAUGGGUAGCGAAGAGGAUUAGAUACCCUCGUAGUCCAUGCCGUAAACGAUGUGUGUUAGACGUUGGAAAUUUAUUUUUAGUGUCGCAGCGAAAGCAAUAAACACACCGCCUGGGGAGUACGACCGCAAGGUUAAAACUCAAAUGAAUUGACGGGGACCCGCACAAGUAGUGGAGCAUGUGGUUUAAUUCGAAGAUACGCGCAGAACCUUACCAACACUUGACAUGUUCGUCGCGACUUUAAGAGAUUAAAGUUUUCGGUUCGGCCGGACGAAACACAGGUGCUGCAUGGCUGUCGUCAGCUCGUGUCGUGAGAUGUUGGGUUAAGUCCCGCAACGAGCGCAACCCUCACUUUUAGUUGCCAUCAUUUAGUUGGGCACUCUGAAAGAACUGCCAGUGAUAAGCUGGAGGAAGGUGGGGAUGACGUCAAGUCCUCAUGGCCCUUACGUGUUGGGCUACACACGUGCUACAAUGGCAUUUACAAUAGGAAGCAAGAUGGCGACGUCGAGCAAAUCCUAAAAAUAUGCCUCAGUUCGGAUUGUACUCUGCAACUCGAGUACAUGAAGCUGGAAUUACUAGUAAUCGCGGAUCAGCGCGCCGCGGUGAAUACGUUCCCGGGUCUUGUACACACCGCCCGUCACACCAUGGGAGUUGGUUCUACCUUAAGGCAAGGUUUAAAACCCUUGACCACGGUAUAGUCAGCGACUGGGGUGAAGUCGUAACAAGGUAACCGUA
This 886-nucleotide ribosomal RNA is filed under the name uncultured bacterium. Its description in RNAcentral is "bacterial SSU rRNA". It matches the Rfam family "Bacterial small subunit ribosomal RNA", at positions 607 to 1504 of the family's 1533-position model. The record is from RNAcentral.